AACCUGACUUCUUUUACACAUACAGUCUGUUUAAGUGGUGCAGACUUAUAAAUAAUAAAAUAAAUGCUGAUACGGAUAAUAAUUUGAUGAUUUCUCUGCAAAUGUUGGAAAAUGUCAAAAAGCAGUGGAAUAGUGGUGAAAACAGCCCAUAACUGACAGCAAUGUGUUUAAAAUAGUUUUUCCAGAAUCCAAAAAACAAAUAUAUCCUGAUAGAUGUCAUAGUGAGAAGCUGGAAAAGGUGAAAAAAUAAAAUCAAUUUAAAAAUUAAAAAAUCAGGAAAGGACUCAUGAGAUGAUUUGAUCUUAUUUGUUCAUCUGAGGACUGACUGAAUGAUGGCUUCUGUAAAUGUAAAAAAGUAGGUCAGAAAAAGUCAAAACCGCUGUGAUUAAAAUUGUUUUUCCAGAAUCCAAAAAUGAAAUAUAUUCUGAUGGAUGUCAAUAUCAGAAGUUGGAAAAGGUGAAAAAUGAAUUAACCUUUGACUUAAUGGGUGGUUUUGGGGUCAGAGAAGCUGACUAGACCAUAUAUUUCAGGUUUAUGCCAUUUACACACAGGAAAAAGUGUAAAAACAGCAACUUAAAAAAAAAAAAAAAAAAAAAAAAAUUCAGCUCCAACUAACAUUUAUCUUAUCAUCUGUUCAUCUGAGGACUGCUUCAAUGAUGGUUUCUCUGUAAAUGUGUAAAAAAAGUAGGUCAGAAAAUGUCAAAGGCAGUUGAAUUGAUUGUUUUUGGGUCAGAGAAGCUGACUAGACCAUAUAUUUCAGGUUAAUGUCAUUUAUACACAGGAAAAAGUGUAAAAACAGCACUUUUU
Molecule: long non-coding RNA, 807 nt
Organism: Sphaeramia orbicularis (orbiculate cardinalfish)
Lineage: Eukaryota; Metazoa; Chordata; Actinopteri; Kurtiformes; Apogonidae
Exons: 2
Source: RefSeq, a predicted model, not a curated record